UGAACAAUUUCUCAACAUUAGGGGUGGCCU
This 30-nucleotide non-coding RNA is filed under the name Rattus norvegicus (Norway rat). The record is from RNAcentral. Lineage: Eukaryota; Metazoa; Chordata; Mammalia; Rodentia; Muridae.